UGAUGUGGAUUUUUCAUUCUUCAUGUCUGGCCCUUCUUGUCUUUUCACCUGCAGAUUGUUCACCCACCAACAGGGAAUUUGCUGGGAUGACUGUCAUCAGACAAGCCCAUCUCACC
This 116-nucleotide ribosomal RNA is filed under the name Eutreptiella gymnastica. Its description in RNAcentral is "partial Eukaryotic large subunit ribosomal RNA". Lineage: Eukaryota; Euglenozoa; Euglenophyceae; Eutreptiales; Eutreptiaceae. The record is from RNAcentral.